This 72-nucleotide transfer RNA is filed under the name Pseudomyrmex flavicornis. Its description in RNAcentral is "tRNA-Lys". The record is from RNAcentral. Lineage: Eukaryota; Metazoa; Arthropoda; Insecta; Hymenoptera; Formicidae.
CAUUAAAUGACUGAAAAGUAAGUUUUGAUUUUUUAAGUCAAGGAAUAGUAUAAUGACACAUACUUUUAAUGA